Molecule: ribosomal RNA, 1227 nt
Filed under: metagenome
Description: bacterial SSU rRNA
Rfam family: Bacterial small subunit ribosomal RNA
Source: RNAcentral
AGAGUUUGAUCCUGGCUCAGAACGAACGCUGGCGGCGUGGUUUAGGCAUGCAAGUCGUACGAUCUUAGGAUAGUGGCAAAAGGGUGAGUAACACGUGGGUAAUUUACCCUUAAGUCGGGAAUAACACCUCGAAAGAGAUGCUAAUACCGGAUAACACCCCGUGCACGUAUGUGCGUGGAGUUAAAGUCGGGGACCCCUCGGGGCCCGACGCUUGAGGAUAAGCCCGCGUCCUAUCAGCUUGUUGGUGAGGUAAUGGCUCACCAAGGCAAUUGACGGGUAGCUGGUCUGAGAGGAUGGUCAGCCACACUGGGACUGAGACACUGCCCAGACUUCUACGGGAGGCUGCAGUCGAGAAUCUUUCGCAAUGGGGGAAACCCUGACGAAGCGACGCCGCGUGGGCGAUGAAGGCCUUCGGGUUGUAAAGCCCUGUCACGAGGGGCGAAUACGCAAUGGUUAACAGCCAAAGUGUUUGACAGUACCUCGAGAGGAAGCCACGGCUAACUCCGUGCCAGCAGCCGCGGUAAUACGGAGGUGGCAAGCGUUGUUCGGAUUCAUUGGGUGUAAAGGGCAUGUAGGCGGCCCCUUAAGUCGACUGUGAAAUCCCUUGGCUUAACCAAGGAACUGCAAUCGAUACUGAGAGGCUUGAGUGCAGAGGAGGAGAACGGAAUUCCCGGUGUAAGGGUGAAAUCUGCAGAGAUCGGGAGGAACACCAGUGGCGAAGGCGGUUCUCUGGUCUGCAACUGACGCUGAAAUGCGAAAGCUAGGGGAGCAAACAGGAUUAGAUACCCUGGUAGUCCUAGCCGUAAACGAUGGGCACUAGGUGUCGGGUAGCAAUAUUCGGUGCCGCAGUUAACACAUUAAGUGCCCCACCUGGGGACUACGGCCGCAAGGUUGAAACUCAAAGGAAUUGACGGGGACCCGCACAAGCGGUGGAGCAUGUGGUUUAAUACGACGCUACGCGUGGAACCUUACCAAGGCUUGACAUGUACAUGAAAUCUCUAUGAAAGUAGGGCUCUCCCUCAAGGACAUGUACACAGGUGUUGCAUGGCUGUCGUCAGCUCGUGUCGUGAGAUGUUGGGUUAAGUCCCGCAACGAGCGCAACCAUUGUCUUUAGUUGCCAGUCCGGUUUCCGGACGCACUCUAGAGAGACUGCCUGUUGUUUGACAGGAGGAAGGUGAAGAUGACGUCAAGUCAGUAUGGCCCUUACGCCUUGGGCUACACACGUGC